UAGGAUAGAGGCCUACCAUGGUGGUAACGGGUAACGGGGUGUUAGGGCACGACACCGGAGAGGGAGCCUGAGAAACGGCUACCACAUCCAAGGAUGGCAGCAGGCGCGCAAAUUACCCAAUCCCGACACGGGGAGGUAGUGACAAUAAAUAACAAUACGGGGUUCUUUAGGAUCUCGUAAUUGGAAUGAGUACAAUUUAAAUCUCUUAACGAGGAACAAUUGGAGGGCAAGUCUGGUGCCAGCAGCCGCGGUAAUUCCAGCUCCAAUAGCGUAUAUUAAAGUUGUUGCAGUUAAAAAGCUCGUAGUUGAAUUUCGGGGUUAGUAGGUUGGUCAUGCCUCUGGUAUGUACUGGUCUCACUGAUUCCUCCUUCCUUAUGAACCGUAAUGCCAUUAAUUUGGUGUUGCGGGGAAUUUGGACUGUUACUUUGAAAAAAUUAGAGUGUUUAAAGCAAGCUAACGCUUGAAUACAUUAGCAUGGAAUAAUGAAAUAGGACGUUCGAUCUUAUUUUGUUGGUUUCUAGGAUUGACGUAAUGAUUAAUAGGGAUAGUUCGGGGCAUUAGUAUUCAAUUGUCAGAGGUGAAAUUCUUGGAUUUAUUGAAGACUAACUACUGCGAAAGCAUUUGCCAAGGAUGUUUUCAUUAAUCAAGAACGAAAGUUAGGGGAUCGAAGACGAUCAGAUACCGUCGUAGUCUUAACCAUAAACUAUGCCGACUAGGGAUCGGAUGA
Molecule: ribosomal RNA, 727 nt
Filed under: uncultured fungus
Lineage: Eukaryota; Fungi
Description: SSU rRNA
Rfam family: Eukaryotic small subunit ribosomal RNA
Source: RNAcentral